RNAcentral lists this ribosomal RNA (274 nucleotides) under uncultured bacterium. Its description in RNAcentral is "partial 16S ribosomal RNA". It matches the Rfam family "Bacterial small subunit ribosomal RNA", at positions 523 to 796 of the family's 1533-position model. The record is from RNAcentral.
AUACGGAGGGUGCAAGCGUUGUUCGGAAUCACUGGGCGUAAAGGGCGCGCAGGCGGUUUGGUAAGUCAGAUGUGAAAGCCCACGGCUCAACCGUGGAAGUGCAUUUGAAACUGUCAGACUUGAGUACUAGAGGGGAAAGUGGAAUUCCCGGUGUAGAGGUGAAAUUCGUAGAUAUCGGGAGGAAUACCGGUGGCGAAGGCGACUUUCUGGCUAGAUGCUGACGCUGAGGCGCGAAAGCGUGGGGAGCAAACAGGAUUAGAAACCCUGGUAGUCC